This 460-nucleotide ribosomal RNA is filed under the name uncultured bacterium. Its description in RNAcentral is "partial 16S ribosomal RNA". It matches the Rfam family "Bacterial small subunit ribosomal RNA", at positions 338 to 795 of the family's 1533-position model. The record is from RNAcentral.
CCUACGGGAGGCAGCAGUGAGGAAUAUUGGUCAAUGGGCGCGAGCCUGAACCAGCCAAGUCGCGUGAGGGAUGACGGCCCUACGGUUUGUAAACCCCUUUUGCCGGGGAGCAACGGGCGCCACGUGUGGCGCCACUGAGAGUACCCGGCGAAAAAGCAUCGGCUAACUUCGUGCCAGCAGCCGCGGUAUUACGGAGGAUGUGAGCGUUAUCCGGAUUUAUUGGGUUUAAAGGGUGCGUAGGCGGAUCGUUAAGUCAGUGGUCAAAUUGAGGGGCUCAACCCCUUGCUGCCAUUGAAACUGGCGCUCUUGAGUGGAAGAGAGGUAUGCGGAAUGCGUGGUGUAGCGGUGAAAUGCAUAGAUAUCACGCAGAACACCGGUUGCGAAGGCAGCAUGCCGGCUUCCGACUGACGCUGAGGCACGAAAGCGUGGGGAUCGAACAGGAUUAGAUACCCGGGUAGUC